UACGUAGGUGGCAAGCGUUAUCCGGAUUUACUGGGUGUAAAGGGCGAGUAGGCGGGAUUGCAAGUCAGAUGUGAAAACUAUGGGCUCAACCGAUAGAGUGCAUUUGAAACUGUUAUUCUAGAGUAUGGGAGAGGUAGGUGGAAUUCUUGGUGUAGGGGUAAAAUCCGUAGAGAUCAAGAGGAAUACUCAUUGCGAAGGCGACCUGCUAGAACAUAACUGACGCUGAUGCGCGAAAGCGUGGGGAGCAAACAGG
Molecule: ribosomal RNA, 253 nt
Filed under: uncultured Helicobacteraceae bacterium
Lineage: Bacteria; Pseudomonadati; Campylobacterota; Epsilonproteobacteria; Campylobacterales; Helicobacteraceae
Description: partial 16S ribosomal RNA
Rfam family: Bacterial small subunit ribosomal RNA
Source: RNAcentral